RNAcentral lists this ribosomal RNA (401 nucleotides) under uncultured bacterium. RNAcentral describes it as "bacterial SSU rRNA". It matches the Rfam family "Bacterial small subunit ribosomal RNA", at positions 28 to 432 of the family's 1533-position model. The record is from RNAcentral.
GACGAACGCUGGCGGCGUGCUUAACACAUGCAAGUCGAGCGGAAAGGCCCUUUCGGGGGUACUCGAGCGGCGAACGGGUGAGUAACACGUGAGUAAUCUGCCCUUGGCUUUGGGAUAACCACCGGAAACGGUGGCUAAUACCGGAUAUGACGGGCUCCGGCAUCGGGGUUCGUGGAAAGUUUUUCGGCCAGGGAUGUGCUCGCGGCCUAUCAGCUUGUUGGUGGGGUAAUGGCCUACCAAGGCUUCGACGGGUAGCCGGCCUGAGAGGGUGACCGGCCACACUGGGACUGAGACACGGCCCAGACUCCUACGGGAGGCAGCAGUGGGGAAUAUUGGACAAUGGGCGGAAGCCUGAUCCAGCAACGCCGCGUGAGGGAUGACGGCCUUCGGGUUGUAACCGU